UCUCUGGUAGUAUAUCGGUUAGUACACGCGCCUGUCAUCAGUCGGCUUCACCAGCCUGCCUGUGUGCGCGCGAAAGCGGGGUUCGACUCCCCGCCAGAGAG
Molecule: non-coding RNA, 101 nt
Organism: Rhodofomes roseus
Lineage: Eukaryota; Fungi; Basidiomycota; Agaricomycetes; Polyporales; Fomitopsidaceae
Source: the annotation of a RefSeq genome assembly